This 737-nucleotide ribosomal RNA is filed under the name uncultured bacterium. Its description in RNAcentral is "bacterial SSU rRNA". It matches the Rfam family "Bacterial small subunit ribosomal RNA", at positions 104 to 828 of the family's 1533-position model. The record is from RNAcentral.
GGGUGAGUAACACGUGGGCAACCUGCCCAAAAGAGGGGGAUAACACUUGGAAACAGGUGCUAAUACCGCAUAACCAUAGUUACCGCAUGGUAACUAUGUAAAAGGUGGCUAUGCUACCGCUUUUGGAUGGGCCCGCGGCGCAUUAGCUAGUUGGUGGGGUAAAGGCUUACCAAGGCAAUGAUGCGUAGCCGAACUGAGAGGUUGAUCGGCCACAUUGGGACUGAGACACGGCCCAAACUCCUACGGGAGGCAGCAGUAGGGAAUCUUCCACAAUGGGCGAAAGCCUGAUGGAGCAACGCCGCGUGGGUGAAGAAGGUCUUCGGAUCGUAAAACCCUGUUGUUAGAGAAGAAAGUGCGUGAGAGUAACUGUUCACGUUUCGACGGUAUCUAACCAGAAAGCCACGGCUAACUACGUGCCAGCAGCCGCGGUAAUACGUAGGUGGCAAGCGUUAUCCGGAUUUAUUGGGCGUAAAGGGAACGCAGGCGGUCUUUUAAGUCUGAUGUGAAAGCCUUCGGCUUAACCGGAGUAGUGCACUGGAAACUGGGAGACUUGAGUGCAGAAGAGGAGAGUGGAACUCCAUGUGUAGCGGUGAAAUGCGUAGAUAUAUGGAAGAACACCAGUGGCGAAAGCGGCUCUCUGGUCUGUAACUGACGCUGAGGUUCGAAAGCGUGGGUAGCAAACAGGAUUAGAUACCCUGGUAGUCCACGCCGUAAACGAUGAAUGCUAAGUGUUGGAG